UACGUAGGGGGCAAGCGUUGUCCGGAUUUAUUGGGCGUAAAGAGCGUGUAGGCGGCCUGACAGGUCUGCUGUGAAAACUCGAGGCUCAACCUCGAGAUGUCGGCGGAAACCGUCUGGCUAGAGUCCGGAAGAGGAGAGUGGAAUUCCUGGUGUAGCGGUGAAAUGCGCAGAUAUCAGGAAGAACACCGAUGGCGAAGGCAGCCCCCUGGGUCAAGAUUGACGCUCAUGCACGAAAGCGUGGGGAGCAAACAGG
This 253-nucleotide ribosomal RNA is filed under the name uncultured bacterium. RNAcentral's name for it is "partial 16S ribosomal RNA". It matches the Rfam family "Bacterial small subunit ribosomal RNA", at positions 524 to 776 of the family's 1533-position model. The record is from RNAcentral.